UGGCGGGAAUGAUGGGCAUCGUCUCAUACUUAUCGUAUGAGUUCCUCAAUCUUCCUGGCUUGGCCAAGCCCUCCAACUCUUCGUUCAAGUGGAGAUUGAGAAGAGAAUUCGUGGACGGGCUCACAUCCUUGCUUUUAAAGGGCGAUUAUGCAAUGAAUUUUUGCUAACCCAACUGUUCAAUGAUGGAAAAUUUGCAGUAUUCGUCAAGUUACUAAAUCUAUGGUUAAGAAGAGCGGUUGGUCAUAGACCUACAGAGUCGUUGGGGUAACAG
Cryptomeria japonica (Japanese cedar) is the source of this 271-nucleotide long non-coding RNA. RefSeq lists it as uncharacterized. The transcript is spliced from 3 exons. The record is from RefSeq and is a predicted model, not a curated record. NCBI's taxonomy places the organism in Eukaryota, Viridiplantae, Streptophyta, Pinopsida, Cupressales, Cupressaceae.